AGACUCCUACGGGAGGCANCAGUAGGGAAUCUUGCNCAAUGGGCGAAAGCCUGACGCAGCAAUGCCGCGUGCGGGACGAAGGCCCUAGGGUCGUAAACCGCUUUCAGUAGGGACGAAAAUGACGGUACCUGCAGAAGAAGCUCCGGCCAACUACGUGCCAGCAGCCGCGGUGAUACGUAGGGAGCAAGCGUUGUCCGGAAUUACUGGGCGUAAAGGGCUCGUAGGUGGUUGAGUAAGUCAGAUGUGAAAUCUCAGGGCCCAACCCUGAGCCUGCAUUUGAUACUGCUCUGACUAGAGUCCGGUAGGGGAGUGCGGAACUCCUGGUGUAGCGGUGAAAUGCGCAGAUAUCAGGAAGAACACCGACAGCGAAGGCAGCACUCUGGGCCGGUACUGACACUGAGGAGCGAAAGCAUGGGUAGCAAACAGGAUUAGAUACCCUGGUAGUCCAUGCCGUAAACGUUGGGCACUAGGUGUGGGGAGAACUCAACUCUCUCCGCGCCGUAGCUAACGCAUUAAGUGCCCCGCCUGGGGAGUACGGCCGCAAGGCUAAAACUCAAAGGAAUUGACGG
Molecule: ribosomal RNA, 569 nt
Filed under: Candidatus Neomicrothrix parvicella
Lineage: Bacteria; Bacillati; Actinomycetota; Acidimicrobiia; Acidimicrobiales; Microthrixaceae
Description: bacterial SSU rRNA
Rfam family: Bacterial small subunit ribosomal RNA
Source: RNAcentral